CACAAAGGGAAUUGGUAUUCACAACCCAGUCUUGGCAAAAGUCUGUACUUUUCAGCUUGUGCAUGUUCCAGAUUGCCCAAACCAGUCAGUUCUGAUCUGAGAAUAAGAAAGUGACAUGUUUCUCACUUCCCUAACAUGUGAAAGAUAGCUGGAGAUGGAGACAUUAAGUCUCGGUGUAAUGGACAUGCCUUGUGUAACGGGGUCACGGGAGGGCCUGUGGGAGGCCUGGAAGAGCUGCAGAAAGACGGGCGCAACUGCCAGGAACCGUGCCCUUUGGCGCGAUGCUGGUAGCGCAAGAGCUCCGAGAUCUUGGAGGAGCUGCUGCACGGGGGAAAUGAGCCGGGACCGCUCAGCCUUAAGGACAAGGAGGAGAGUAACUUUUGCCUGUGGAUUUUCCCUUUUAGUUUAGGUUAAACGUAUGCCUGUGAUCCAGCAAACUUAAUCGGAGGGUUCCAAGCCCUGUAAAUCCAGAUACUUCCCUUCCCUUCCCUUCUCUUGGUAAAACAAGGGAUUUGAAAAAUCACCAGGUUGAAUCAUGGCGGAACUCUUGCAGUCACUCAUACCAGAGUAUUUGAAGCUCCAUCCAAGUGUAUCCUACAGGUCAGGACAUGCCUUAACUGGUCCCAGAGGUCUCCCAAAUCAGCGGUAUCCCAAAAGCUGUUCAUGAAAAGAAGGCAUCCUUCAGAAAAUGGAAGCUGUGCUGAAGUGAGGAGGACAAAAGGGAAUGCAGACGAAGGAAGGAAGGAAGGAAGGAAGGAAGGAAGGAAGGAAGGAAGGAAGGAAAGCUGGGUAAUCAGGGAGCUAAAGGUGUGUUAGCGGAGAAUAAGGAGGUUGCCGAAAAGCCACAGGAAUUCUUUGCAUCUGUUUUCACUGCCAGCAAUAGGAUGAAAUUCUAGAACUGAUUGGCAGACUGAGAACAAACCACAUCCAAAGAGUAACCCUCCAAGCAUUUUAAAGGAACUCAGACGUGAAAUGGCUGACAUUCUAACAAAAGCAUGCUGCCUGUUUCAGAUAAAUUAUUCCAGAUAAAUUCAUGGAAAACAUCAUUACAAAUAACAUCUUCAAAUAUCCGAAAUGACAGCUUGCUGAAGUAGAAUCCACAGGAAUCUACAUAAAUAAGUCUGUUUUUACUAACAUUUUCACUUUGUUUGAGUCUGGCAUCAAGCAUGUGGAUCAGGUCCUCCGGAAGGCAGACCUGGAUUUUCCAAAGGCUGUUCUUGAAGCCCCUCACCAAAGACUCCUGAUUAUACAUAGCAAUCGGGAUGAGAUAAAAGCCUUCUCUUAUGGAGCAGAAACUGGGGACAAGCCUACCUCCAUGUGUGGAUUCACCCACAGCCAGAAGAACUCCAACUUGCUGGGCUGGUUAGAAGAAUCGCAACUCGGGCUGCUGCCGAUGUGCAUGUGUGGAAACGACGGGCUGGAAUGCUCCUGUUAAGGUCAUUCGGUGCUCAAGAUAAGCUAAGAUAUCGCUGGCAUUUGGAGUGCCGUUCCUGGCCUUCGGGACCACCCACACUUCAGCUUGACCCCCCAGGAGCUUCUGUGUGAUGGAAUCCAAGUCCAGCCCUUCAGAAACCAGCCAUGUCACCCGAUGAAGCUGAAGGGCAGCUGAAAGAAAGGACAUCUUCUAGAAUUAGCUACCGCAAGACGUGCCAGUGGCCACCAACUUGGAUGGACUGAAGGGCGGCCUGCACAAGGACUCUGGAGAAGGGGAUGCCAAGGGCUGCUCGUCUAGAAGGCUCUAUGUGACUUCCAGUUACGGAGAAUGUGUCUUUUUCUCAGUGCACUUGGAAUGGACCAGAACGGAAGUCACAAACAAUCAUAGAAAACAAGAGACACCCCACCCCUUCCACAGCGAACAACGAACUCAACCGAAAAACAAAAAUGAAAAACUUCAAACGAAGCCCAGUGGUCGGGUUUUUUCUUCUUUUUUCUAAAAUCCAUGAUUAAAACC
This is a long non-coding RNA of Varanus komodoensis (Komodo dragon), 1951 nucleotides long. RefSeq lists it as uncharacterized. Lineage: Eukaryota; Metazoa; Chordata; Lepidosauria; Squamata; Varanidae. The record is from RefSeq and is a predicted model, not a curated record. The transcript has 5 exons.